UUUAAUUUUGAUAAAGUCGACGCUGAUGAGAGAGGAUGGUCAGGACUGUGAAGGGAGGAUUUCUCUAAGUUUAACCUAAGUGUCAGCAUCAAACAGGAUUGAGUUGGACGCAAAUGUGGAAUAAAUCCCUUUAUAACUUGCAUCACCCUCCAAUGAGAGCCUGCUGUGGAUGAAAGUGAUGUUACCAGGCUCGAUAUAUGUUGAGGGUUCCAGCCAUGAAGAUGUUGGCAAAUUUGAACAUGUCAAUGUCAGUGAUUCUAGAUGGAGUAAUGACAUUUCAGACCAUUAGCCUCCUUUCAGAAAAGUUGAGCUUCCAUCCCUCCACCUGUUAAAUGAAGAGGAACUGUAAUCCACAUACCAGAGUCCAAGAGGACAUCACUAGCAGGGUCAACACCACGACCAACUCUCAGAGCAGGUGAUUGGGAAACAGAACAAUGAAGCGGAAAAUGAAAAUCAAACUGGCCAUAAACAGUCCAGCACACAGAACAUGGAUGAGACUGAGAAACUCCAUGGAGAAUUACGUAUAUCACCCAAGGUGGAUGAGAAAAAUCCCACGGCAUGGUCUGAUGAAGAGCAGUUCAGGCAUCCUGACCCACAGUCAUCUCUCAACCACUCGUUAAGGCUGCCAGUUUGAGGAUGGUAAAUCGGCAUCAAGCAUGACUGACCAAGUGUCUCUCCCACUCUUCCUGCCUGCUUGGACUAUUGGAAGGAAAUCCGAUUGAAAUCCUCCUGUUUGGCUCCAUCAUCAUCAGCAUUCCUUAGCACUAUAGUUCUGGAACGAGACUCAGAAGUGGAUCUUUGGGUUCAGAUACAGAGGCUCUACACAUUGCAUCACAUAAACUCCUUCCACUAGAAUCAAUGCGAGUAGUGAAAGCAUUGGCUCAGAAUGCUUUUCUCACUGGAGAAUGGAGUUAUAUUUUGAACAAGGAUUCUCCUAGACAUUGUGGAUCUGUAAGAAGGGAGUGUAUGUCUGUCUACCUAUGGUUGAUAAUGAACAGAGACAGAGGUAAUUCAGCUGUAGUGCAUAUUGUCCUGUUGCAACAUGAGGCCAGUCUUUGUGGUACACACUACAAGGGCUAACAUACAGGAGAACACAGACAUUAAAUCAUGCUGACAGUGGUGGUUUACCCAAAAACUACAUCAGCAGGGACUAGAAAGACAAGAUAUUAAUGUGGCUCUUACAUUGAGAAACAAGUAUAAAGAGAAGAAGAGCGAGCAAGAAUAAGAAAAAUAAUGUGAGACAGGAAAUGUUCAAAAGGGAGAUGAUUUGCUAUGAGAUUUGUACAUUUUGUUGAAUAUUGUAGUGUCAGUUUUGAGCCCACCACAGUAAAAUACAUGCAGGUCACUUUUUCCAGGUGAAUAUUGUAAAGAAGAUGUAAUGACUGGUUCGCUGUCUCCAGUCUUAAAACUGAGCAACAGGACGGCAGUAUCUGGCGGAUUUCUGAUUCUGCAAUAGAACUGCUGCUGCAUGAAGUGGAGCAAUGAAAUGUUACAAUUCAGGUUACUGCUCAACAUUCUUAACAUUUGUUUGUUUACUUUGUUACAACUUGUGACCACAAUUUCCAAACAUGCUCCAUUUCUCUUGUCAGUUCUCAAUUUUGGAUCUUUCUGUAACUGUUACAA
Long non-coding RNA from Rhincodon typus (whale shark), 1623 nucleotides. RefSeq lists it as uncharacterized. The transcript has 3 exons. The record is from RefSeq and is a predicted model, not a curated record. Lineage: Eukaryota; Metazoa; Chordata; Chondrichthyes; Orectolobiformes; Rhincodontidae.